RNAcentral lists this ribosomal RNA (2903 nucleotides) under Shigella dysenteriae. RNAcentral's name for it is "bacterial LSU rRNA". It matches the Rfam family "Bacterial large subunit ribosomal RNA". The record is from RNAcentral. Lineage: Bacteria; Pseudomonadati; Pseudomonadota; Gammaproteobacteria; Enterobacterales; Enterobacteriaceae.
GGUUAAGCGACUAAGCGUACACGGUGGAUGCCCUGGCAGUCAGAGGCGAUGAAGGACGUGCUAAUCUGCGAUAAGCGUCGGUAAGGUGAUAUGAACCGUUAUAACCGGCGAUUUCCGAAUGGGGAAACCCAGUGUGAUUCGUCACACUAUCAUUAACUGAAUCCAUAGGUUAAUGAGGCGAACCGGGGGAACUGAAACAUCUAAGUACCCCGAGGAAAAGAAAUCAACCGAGAUUCCCCCAGUAGCGGCGAGCGAACGGGGAGCAGCCCAGAGCCUGAAUCAGUGUGUGUGUUAGUGGAAGCGUCUGGAAAGGCGUGCGAUACAGGGUGACAGCCCCGUACACAAAAAUGCACAUAUUGUGAGCUCGAUGAGUAGGGCGGGACACGUGGUAUCCUGUCUGAAUAUGGGGGGACCAUCCUCCAAGGCUAAAUACUCCUGACUGACCGAUAGUGAACCAGUACCGUGAGGGAAAGGCGAAAAGAACCCCGGCGAGGGGAGUGAAAAAGAACCUGAAACCGUGUACGUACAAGCAGUGGGAGCACGCUUAGGCGUGUGACUGCGUACCUUUUGUAUAAUGGGUCAGCGACUUAUAUUCUGUAGCAAGGUUAACCGAAUAGGGGAGCCGAAGGGAAACCGAGUCUUAACUGGGCGUUAAGUUGCAGGGUAUAGACCCGAAACCCGGUGAUCUAGCCAUGGGCAGGUUGAAGGUUGGGUAACACUAACUGGAGGACCGAACCGACUAAUGUUGAAAAAUUAGCGGAUGACUUGUGGCUGGGGGUGAAAGGCCAAUCAAACCGGGAGAUAGCUGGUUCUCCCCGAAAGCUAUUUAGGUAGCGCCUCGUGAAUUCAUCUCCGGGGGUAGAGCACUGUUUCGGCAAGGGGGUCAUCCCGACUUACCAACCCGAUGCAAACUGCGAAUACCGGAGAAUGUUAUCACGGGAGACACACGGCGGGUGCUAACGUCCGUCGUGAAGAGGGAAACAACCCAGACCGCCAGCUAAGGUCCCAAAGUCAUGGUUAAGUGGGAAACGAUGUGGGAAGGCCCAGACAGCCAGGAUGUUGGCUUAGAAGCAGCCAUCAUUUAAAGAAAGCGUAAUAGCUCACUGGUCGAGUCGGCCUGCGCGGAAGAUGUAACGGGGCUAAACCAUGCACCGAAGCUGCGGCAGCGACACUAUGUGUUGUUGGGUAGGGGAGCGUUCUGUAAGCCUGUGAAGGUGUACUGUGAGGUAUGCUGGAGGUAUCAGAAGUGCGAAUGCUGACAUAAGUAACGAUAAAGCGGGUGAAAAGCCCGCUCGCCGGAAGACCAAGGGUUCCUGUCCAACGUUAAUCGGGGCAGGGUGAGUCGACUCCUAAGGCGAGGCCGAAAGGCGUAGUCGAUGGGAAACAGGUUAAUAUUCCUGUACUUGGUGUUACUGCGAAGGGGGGACGGAGAAGGCUAUGUUGGCCGGGCGACGGUUGUCCCGGUUUAAGCGUGUAGGCUGGUUUUCCAGGCAAAUCCGGAAAACUAAGGCUGAGGCGUGAUGACGAGGCACUACGGUGCUGAAGCAACAAAUGCCCUGCUUCCAGGAAAAGCCUCUAAGCAUCAGGUAACAUCAAAUCGUACCCCAAACCGACACAGGUGGUCAGGUAGAGAAUACCAAGGCGCUUGAGAGAACUCGGGUGAAGGAACUAGGCAAAAUGGUGCCGUAACUUCGGGAGAAGGCACGCUGAUAUGUAGGUGAAGUCCCUCGCGGAUGGAGCUGAAAUCAGUCGAAGAUACCAGCUGGCUGCAACUGUUUAUUAAAAACACAGCACUGUGCAAACACGAAAGUGGACGUAUACGGUGUGACGCCUGCCCGGUGCCGGAAGGUUAAUUGAUGGGGUCAGCGCAAGCGAAGCUCUUGAUCGAAGCCCCGGUAAACGGCGGCCGUAACUAUAACGGUCCUAAGGUAGCGAAAUUCCUUGUCGGGUAAGUUCCGACCUGCACGAAUGGCGUAAUGAUGGCCAGGCUGUCUCCACCCGAGACUCAGUGAAAUUGAACUCGCUGUGAAGAUGCAGUGUACCCGCGGCAAGACGGAAAGACCCCGUGAACCUUUACUAUAGCUUGACACUGAACAUUGAGCCUUGAUGUGUAGGAUAGGUGGGAGGCUUUGAAGUGUGGACGCCAGUCUGCAUGGAGCCGACCUUGAAAUACCACCCUUUAAUGUUUGAUGUUCUAACGUUGACCCGUAAUCCGGGUUGCGGACAGUGUCUGGUGGGUAGUUUGACUGGGGCGGUCUCCUCCUAAAGAGUAACGGAGGAGCACGAAGGUUGGCUAAUCCUGGUCGGACAUCAGGAGGUUAGUGCAAUGGCAUAAGCCAGCUUGACUGCGAGCGUGACGGCGCGAGCAGGUGCGAAAGCAGGUCAUAGUGAUCCGGUGGUUCUGAAUGGAAGGGCCAUCGCUCAACGGAUAAAAGGUACUCCGGGGAUAACAGGCUGAUACCGCCCAAGAGUUCAUAUCGACGGCGGUGUUUGGCACCUCGAUGUCGGCUCAUCACAUCCUGGGGCUGAAGUAGGUCCCAAGGGUAUGGCUGUUCGCCAUUUAAAGUGGUACGCGAGCUGGGUUUAGAACGUCGUGAGACAGUUCGGUCCCUAUCUGCCGUGGGCGCUGGAGAACUGAGGGGGGCUGCUCCUAGUACGAGAGGACCGGAGUGGACGCAUCACUGGUGUUCGGGUUGUCAUGCCAAUGGCACUGCCCGGUAGCUAAAUGCGGAAGAGAUAAGUGCUGAAAGCAUCUAAGCACGAAACUUGCCCCGAGAUGAGUUCUCCCUGACUCCUUGAGAGUCCUGAAGGAACGUUGAAGACGACGACGUUGAUAGGUCGGGUGUGUAAGCGCAGCGAUGCGUUGAGCUAACCGGUACUAAUGAACCGUGAGGCUUAACCUU